GCCGAAGUGGUGGAAUUGGUAGACACACCAUCUUGAGGGGGUGGCGGCGCAAGCUGUGGAGGUUCGAGUCCUCUCUUCGGCACCA
Molecule: transfer RNA, 85 nt
Filed under: Legionellales bacterium
Lineage: Bacteria; Pseudomonadati; Pseudomonadota; Gammaproteobacteria; Legionellales
Description: tRNA-Leu
Rfam family: tRNA
About the family: Transfer RNA (tRNA) molecules are approximately 80 nucleotides in length. Their secondary structure includes four short double-helical elements and three loops (D, anti-codon, and T loops). Further hydrogen bonds mediate the characteristic L-shaped molecular structure. tRNAs have two regions of fundamental functional importance: the anti-codon, which is responsible for specific mRNA codon recognition, and the 3' end, to which the tRNAs corresponding amino acid is attached (by aminoacyl-tRNA synthetases). tRNAs cope with the degeneracy of the genetic code in two manners: having more than one tRNA (with a specific anti-codon) for a particular amino acid; and 'wobble' base-pairing, i.e. permitting non-standard base-pairing at the 3rd anti-codon position.
Source: RNAcentral